UAAUAGAUACCCUGGUAGUCCACGCCGUAAACGGUGGGCGCUAGGUGUGGGGGACUUUCCACGUCCUCUGUGCCGUAGCUAACGCAUUAAGCGCCCCGCCUGGGGAGUACGGCCGCAAGGCUAAAACUCAAAGGAAUUGACGGGGGCCCGCACAAGCGGCGGAGCAUGUGGCUUAAUUCGACGCAACGCGAAGAACCUUACCAAGGCUUGACAUGCAGGGAAAUCUCGUAGAGAUACGGGGUCCGCAAGGGCUCUGCACAGGUGGUGCAUGGUUGUCGUCAGCUCGUGUCGUGAGAUGUUGGGUUAAGUCCCGCAACGAGCGCAACCCUUGUCCUAUGUUGCCAGCGAGUAAUGUCGGGGACUCAUAGGAGACUGCCGGGGUCAACUCGGAGGAAGGUGGGGAUGACGUCAAAUCAUCAUGCCCCUUAUGUCUUGGGCUGCACACAUGCUACAAUGGUCGGUACAAAGGGCUGCGAGACCGCAAGGUGGAGCGAAUCCCAAAAAGCCGGCCUCAGUUCGGAUUGGGGU
This 528-nucleotide ribosomal RNA is filed under the name uncultured bacterium. RNAcentral describes it as "bacterial SSU rRNA". It matches the Rfam family "Bacterial small subunit ribosomal RNA", at positions 776 to 1304 of the family's 1533-position model. The record is from RNAcentral.